GGUGAACGCUGGCGGUAGGCCUAACACAUGCAAGUCGAACGGCAGCACAGUAGGAGCUUGCUCUUACGGGUGGCGAGUGGCGGACGGGUGAGGAAUACAUCGGAAUCUACUUUUUCGUGGGGGAUAACGUGGGGAAACUUACGCUAAUACCGCAUACGACCUACGGGUGAAAGCAGGGGAUCUUCGGACCUUGCGCGAUUGAAUGAGCCGAUGUCGGAUUAGCUAGUUGGCGGGGUAAAGGCCCACCAAGGCGACGAUCCGUAGCUGGUCUGAGAGGAUGAUCAGCCACACUGGAACUGAGACACGGUCCAGACUCCUACGGGAGGCAGCAGUGGGGAAUAUUGGACAAUGGGCGCAAGCCUGAUCCAGCCAUACCGCGUGGGUGAAGAAGGCCUUCGGGUUGUAAAGCCCUUUUGUUGGGAAAGAAAAGCAGCAGGUUAAUACCCCGCUGUUCUGACGGUACCCAAAGAAUAAGCACCGGCUAACUUCGUG
Molecule: ribosomal RNA, 492 nt
Filed under: uncultured bacterium
Lineage: Bacteria
Description: partial 16S ribosomal RNA
Rfam family: Bacterial small subunit ribosomal RNA
Source: RNAcentral